Pomacea canaliculata is the source of this 1367-nucleotide long non-coding RNA. RefSeq lists it as uncharacterized. Lineage: Eukaryota; Metazoa; Mollusca; Gastropoda; Architaenioglossa; Ampullariidae. The transcript is spliced from 2 exons. The record is from RefSeq and is a predicted model, not a curated record.
UCUAUAAAAUGUUUGUCGUGUAACUUUUGAGGUCAGACGUACAAAUAGUCUGAAAUGAUUGUAUGUCAAGCCCUCGCUUCUACUUGAAUGCAGUGUCACGUGUUGUCAUUUUGUGUGGGCUUGUUUUGUUUUUGAGUUGGAUGCUGUCUCUGCAAACUGGUUGCUGUCAGGAAAAGGUCGGGGUUAGCUGAUUGAUGUAGUUACCAAACAUGAGGACAAAGAUUAAACUGACACCUGAGUCUUAAUGGCGAUUGUUUUGUGGAAGAAUAGUUCGACGCUCUGCCAGAAAUAAAACUGAUGUGCAACCAGAUAAAACACGCAGCAUUAGCUGGAAUGUUUGAAAAGUAAAAAUAGAAGAAACAUUAUCUGAUGAGAAAGCGCGUCUACAAUCUAUUGUUUUGUCAAUGAGGACAGACUUUACGCCUUUCAUUUUUACUUAAAUUUUGUCCCUUUUCUUUUCUUCUUUUCGUUCUUUUCACUGCUCAUGGUAGCAAUUUUACAAUUUUCUCCAUUAAAAAGACUUGUCAGGUAUUUUUUUUUUUUUGCACGAUGUAAAUAAGAUUUUCCCUUUAUCUUCAUGACACUGUAGAACUCUGAAGGUUAAAAUGUCCUCGAUGUCCUCGUGACAAGUUAGUCGUGACAAGGUGACCCGGAAAUGUUCUGCUUAAUUUCUCACAGCUUAUCGCUCUGACCCUUGAAGGGUUCGAAAGAGUGCAGCAUGAUGUCAAACUACACGACUGUCAAGGAGUAAAGCUUUGUCUGUAGAUGUAGAUAAGAUUAUUAGCUGUCGCCCACGCGCCCGUGAUUAGUCCGUCUUUACCAGGACACACUGAUAAAUAUGUGAAUAUGUUUGGCUAUUCUUGGUAAACAGGGGUACCUGGGUUGCUUUCUUCCACUAACUUUUCCAGCUGUAAUUUUAUUGUCAACUUUAGAUAUAUUACUUCACUUGAGUCGAGCUUAUUAUUUAUGGUCAGCGUCACUGUAUCAAAGUACUCUCGUGAACUCUCGACGUCUUAUAACGUGAGUGGCUGACAGCUCCUAUUUGGCACAAAGUUUCCCGGGAAGGGAGAGCUACCGUCGAGUACCACAUCCGCCAUGCCAUCUUUCACGUGAAGAGCACUGCCAAGUGUGACAACAACCUGACAGUGAUAGGGAGGAGUGAGUGAGGAGGAAGAGAGAGGGAGGAGCCAAAGCGAGGGAGGGAGAUGGAAAAUAUUUGUGGCAAGUUAACUGCACCCUUGCUGGUAUCUUACAGCAAGCACGAAGAUGUCAUAAAAUGACGGAGAUGGCUGUCAAGUGCGCGCGUGGAGCUUGUCGCUUUGACAUUGCUAGAGAAUGACAUAACCAGUAAAAGUAGAUGACACAUU